This 460-nucleotide ribosomal RNA is filed under the name uncultured bacterium. RNAcentral's name for it is "partial 16S ribosomal RNA". It matches the Rfam family "Bacterial small subunit ribosomal RNA", at positions 338 to 795 of the family's 1533-position model. The record is from RNAcentral.
CCUACGGGUGGCAGCAGUGAGGAAUAUUGGUCAAUGGACGAGAGUCUGAACCAGCCAAGUAGCGUGAAGGAUGACUGCCCUAUGGGUUGUAAACUUCUUUUAUAUGGGAAUAAAAUGUUCCACGUGUGGGAUUUUGUAUGUACCAGAUGAAUAAGGAUAGGCUAACUCCGUGCCAGCAGCCGCGGUAAUACGGAGGAUCCGAGCGUUAGCCGGAUUUAAUGGGUUUAUAGGGAGCGUAGGGGGUUUGUUAAGUCAGUUUUGAAAGGUUACGGCUAAACCUUAAAAUUGCAGUUGAAACUGGCAGUCGUGAGUACAGUAGAGGUGGGCGGAAUUCGUGGUGUAGCGGUGAAAUGCUUAGAUAUCACGAAGAACUCCGAUUGCGAAGGCAGCUCACUGGACUGCAACUGACACUGAGGCUCGAAAGUGUGGGUAUCAAACAGGAUUAGAUACCCUAGUAGUC